UCAUUCGUAGCCCAAAUGGGAGCGCGUUGAUCUCUCACAAGGACAUCCCGGGAUCGAGUCCCCACGGAUGCA
This 72-nucleotide transfer RNA is filed under the name Hordeum vulgare. RNAcentral describes it as "tRNA-OTHER". The record is from RNAcentral. Lineage: Eukaryota; Viridiplantae; Streptophyta; Magnoliopsida; Poales; Poaceae.